RNAcentral lists this ribosomal RNA (1776 nucleotides) under Triticum aestivum (bread wheat). RNAcentral's name for it is "partial small subunit ribosomal RNA". Lineage: Eukaryota; Viridiplantae; Streptophyta; Magnoliopsida; Poales; Poaceae. The record is from RNAcentral.
AUGCGUACCGGACGCGCACGCAGCAGCCAACCACCGUCCGUCUCCGUUGUCGUCGUUGGGAUCGUACCGGAAGAGGAAGACGAGUCGCCCCGACUCUACUACGUGACGUCGCCCUCAGAAGCUCUGCAUGCCUCGGUGGGGAGUGGAAAAGAGCGGGCACGGCACGAUCACGCGCAGGCCGUAGGACGGGAGAAAUUCCACCGCAUGAUGGGUGGAAGGAAUCGGGCGCGCGCCCAACUAGUCCGCCUGACUUUUAGGCGCCGCGUUUUGUCCCCGUCGUCCGGCCCCAGCCGAGCCGACGCGAGCGCCAUGGCCUCGUCCUCCCUCUUCGCCUCCCCGGCCCGCCGCGCCCUCCUCUUGUCGUCGUUUCUCCUCUGUUUCCUGCCGCGCCAUGUUGCUGCCGGCGCCGCGGGGGCCGGGGGCUACGUCACCGUCUCCACCGCCAGCUUCGCCGCCGCGUCGAGCGCGACCUGCGACGAACCCGGCCCAGUGAUCGCGCCGCGGCAGAGGAACGGCACGCUGGCGGUGCUGCGGCUGGCGCACCGGCACGGGCCGUGCGGCCCGUCGACGGCGUCGGCCGUGGUGGAACCGUCGUUCGCCGAGGUGCAACGCGCGGACCAGCGGCGGGUGGAGUACAUACAGGGGCGGGUGUCGGGGGGCGGCGGCGCGCGGGGGGCGAGUAAGGGGGGCCUGCAGCAGCGGCAGCAGCAGCUCGCGGCCGGCUCCAGGUCGGCGACGUUGCCGACCACCAUGGGCGUCGGCACGUUCCAGUACGUGGUGACGGUGAGCCUGGGCACGCCGGGCGUGUCGCAGACGAUGGAGGUGGACACGGGCAGCGACGUGUCGUGGGUGCAGUGCAAGCCCUGCGCCGCGCCGGCGUGCUACAGCCAGAGGGACCAGCUCUUCGACCCGGCCAAGUCGUCCACCUACUCCGCCGUGCCGUGCGGCGCGGACGCGUGCUCGGACCUCGGGAUCUACAUGGCCGGUUGCUCCGGGUCGCAGUGCGGGUACGUGGUCAGCUACGGCGACGGGUCCAACACCACCGGCGUGUACGGCUCCGACACGCUGGCGCUGGCGCCGGGCAACACGGUGGGCACGUUCCUCUUCGGCUGCGGCCACGCGCAGGCGGGGCUCUUCGCCGGCAUCGACGGGCUCCUCGCGCUCGGCCGGCAGGCCAUGUCGCUCAAGUCGCAGGCCGCGGGCGCGUACGGCGGGGUCUUCUCCUACUGCCUCCCUUCGAAGCCGAGCUCCGCGGGGUACCUGACGCUGGGCGGGCCGAGCAGCGCGUCGGGGUUCGCGACGACGGGGCUGCUGACGGCGUGGUCCGCGCCGACGUUCUACAUGGUGAUGCUCACGGGCAUCAGCGUGGGCGGGCAGCCGGUGGCCGUCCCGGCGUCGGCGUUCGCGGGGGGCAUGGUGGUGGACACGGGCACGGUGAUCACGCGGCUGCCGCCCGCGGCGUACGCGGCGCUGCGGUCGGCGUUCCGCGGCGCCAUCGCGCCCUACGGGUACCCGUCGGCGCCGGCCAACGGGAUCCUGGACACGUGCUACGACUUCAGCCGGUACGGCGUGGUGACGCUGCCGACGGUGGCGCUGACCUUCAGCGGCGGCGCGACGCUGGCCCUGGAGGCCCCCGGGAUCCUGUCGAGCGGGUGCCUCGCGUUCGCGCCCAACGGCGGCGACGGCGACGCCGCCAUCCUCGGCAACGUGCAGCAGCGGUCCUUCGCGGUGCGCUUCGACGGCGGCACCGUCGGGUUCAUGCCCGGCGCGUGCUGA